RNAcentral lists this unclassified non-coding RNA (355 nucleotides) under soil metagenome. Its description in RNAcentral is "partial contains 5.8S ribosomal RNA, internal transcribed spacer 2, and large subunit ribosomal RNA". The stretch from base 3 to 120 matches the Rfam family "5.8S ribosomal RNA", at positions 37 to 154 of the family's 154-position model. The record is from RNAcentral.
GGUGAAGAACGCAGCGAAAUGCGAUAAGUAAUGUGAAUUGCAGAAUUCAGUGAAUCAUCGAAUCUUUGAACGCACAUUGCGCCCGCCAGUAUUCUGGCGGGCAUGCCUGUCCGAGCGUCAUUUCAACCCUCGAACCCCUCCGGGGGGUCGGCGUUGGGGAUCGGCCCUGCCUCUUGGCGGUGGCCGUCUCCGAAAUACAGUGGCGGUCUCGCCGCAGCCUCUCCUGCGCAGUAGUUUGCACACUCGCAUCGGGAGCGCGGCGCGUCCACAGCCGUUAAACACCCAACUUCUGAAAUGUUGACCUCGGAUCAGGUAGGAAUACCCGCUGAACUUAAGCAUAUCAAUAAGCGGAGGA